This 468-nucleotide ribosomal RNA is filed under the name uncultured bacterium. Its description in RNAcentral is "partial 16S ribosomal RNA". It matches the Rfam family "Bacterial small subunit ribosomal RNA", at positions 28 to 507 of the family's 1533-position model. The record is from RNAcentral.
GACGAACGCUGGCGGCGUGCUUAACACAUGCAAGUCGAACGGAAAGGCCCUGCUUUUGUGGGGUGCUCGAGUGGCGAACGGGUGAGUAACACGUGAGUAACCUGCCCUUGACUUUGGGAUAACUUCAGGAAACUGGGGCUAAUACCGGAUAGGAGCUCCUGCUGCAUGGUGGGGGUUGGAAAGUUUCGGCGGUUGGGGAUGGACUCGCGGCUUAUCAGCUUGUUGGUGGGGUAGUGGCUUACCAAGGCUUUGACGGGUAGCCGGCCUGAGAGGGUGACCGGCCACAUUGGGACUGAGGUACGGCCCAGACUCCUACGGGAGGCAGCAGUGGGGAAUAUGGCACAAUGGGCGGAAGCCUGAUGCAGAAACGCCGCGUGCGGGAUGACGGCCUUCGGGUUAAAAACCGCUUUCGCCUGUGACGAAGCGUGAGUGACGGUAAUGGGUAAAGAAGCACCGGCUAACUACGUG